Molecule: ribosomal RNA, 510 nt
Filed under: uncultured bacterium
Lineage: Bacteria
Description: partial 16S ribosomal RNA
Rfam family: Bacterial small subunit ribosomal RNA
Source: RNAcentral
GACGAACGCUGGCGGCGUGCUUAACACAUGCAAGUCGAACGAAGAGCGAUGGAAGCUUGCUUCUAUCAAUCUUAGUGGCGAACGGGUGAGUAACGCGUAAUCAACCUGCCCUUCAGAGGGGGACAACAGUUGGAAACGACUGCUAAUACCGCAUACGAUCUAAUCUCGGCAUCGAGGAUAGAUGAAAGGUGGCCUCUACAUGUAAGCUAUCACUGAAGGAGGGGAUUGCGUCUGAUUAGCUAGUUGGAGGGGUAACGGCCCACCAAGGCGAUGAUCAGUAGCCGGUCUGAGAGGAUGAACGGCCACAUUGGGACUGAGACACGGCCCAGACUCCUACGGGAGGCAGCAGUGGGGAAUCUUCCGCAAGAGACGAAAGUCUGACGGAGCAACGCCGCGUGAGCGAUGACGGCCUUCGGGUUGUAAAGCUCUGUUAAUCGGGACGAAAGGCCUUCUUGCGAAUAGUGAGAAGGAUUGACGGUACCGGAAUAGAAAGCCACGGCUAACUACGUG